GCUCAAUCCACAAGGCAGCCUCGGUAGUUCCGACCAGGCACCAGAAGCCUGGAAGUUUCCUGGAGAGUCACUGCUCCCUACUGCCCAAAGGAAGCUUGGAAAUGGUGAUUCUCUUAUCAGAAGAGGGAUCCACAGGGCUACAGGCAAAUCAACUCUGCUGCGACAGGGAAGGCCAGUCCCAUGAAGGGGAAGCUCAUUUAGCUCAUGAAGAAAACAUCUGGAAGGCUUCAGGAAGUCCCUAAACCUGACAAGACAUAAUAUCAGGCCCCCACCGCAGCUUAUACAAGCCAUGAGGACUGCUAAGAGACUCUAAGAGGAACUGAGCUGUGUGGAUGAGACACUCUCCAACCUGUUGAGCUGCCUGCAGGCUGUGCAGUACACUCCUGGCUUCCAGCUUUUUUGAGCAAUCAUCCAUGCUGAGGUGGCUUUGGGUGACUCAGCUGUCUUUGAGUCAUUUCUGCUCUUGAGGUAUCCCAAUAAAACUCAUUGGCUUACCAAGUU
Long non-coding RNA from Mesocricetus auratus (golden hamster), 501 nucleotides. RefSeq lists it as uncharacterized. The transcript is spliced from 2 exons. The record is from RefSeq and is a predicted model, not a curated record. Lineage: Eukaryota; Metazoa; Chordata; Mammalia; Rodentia; Cricetidae.